RNAcentral lists this ribosomal RNA (499 nucleotides) under uncultured bacterium. Its description in RNAcentral is "partial 16S ribosomal RNA". It matches the Rfam family "Bacterial small subunit ribosomal RNA", at positions 28 to 507 of the family's 1533-position model. The record is from RNAcentral.
GACGGACGCUGGCGGCGUGCCUAAUACAUGCAAGUCGAGCGAAGUUUUUCUGGUGCUUGCACUAGAAAAACUUAGCGGCGAACGGGUGAGUAACACGUAAGGAACCUGCCUCAUAGACUGGGACAACUAUUGGAAACGAUAGCUAAUACCGGAUAACAGUAUUUCUCGCAUGAGAGAUAUUUAAAAGUUGGUUAUGCUAACACUAUGAGAUGGCUUUGCGGUGCAUUAGCUAGUUGGUGGGGUAAAGGCCCACCAAGGCGACGAUGCAUAGCCGACCUGAGAGGGUGAUCGGCCACACUGGGACUGAGACACGGCCCAGACUCCUACGGGAGGCAGCAGUAGGGAAUCUUCCGCAAUGGGCGAAAGCCUGACGGAGCAACGCCGCGUGAGUGAAGAAGGAUUUCGGUUCGUAAAGCUCUGUUGUUAGGGAAGAAUGGAUAUGUAGUAACUAUACAUGUAAGAGACGGUACCUAACCAGAAAGCCACGGCUAACUACGUG